Molecule: transfer RNA, 54 nt
Filed under: Arctosa alluaudi
Lineage: Eukaryota; Metazoa; Arthropoda; Arachnida; Araneae; Lycosidae
Description: tRNA-Leu
Source: RNAcentral
AUUAUAUUGGCAGAGUUAAUGCAUUAGAAUUAGAAUCUAAUUAACUAAGUAUUU